AAAAAUUUGGGCAUUCCUGCCUCUCAACCGUUGCAAGUCUGAAACCAUCCUCUGCCGUUCCAAAACCCAGGCCUCCGCCCAUCCCAUUUCGCUUCACACAGAGGGGAAGAAGGCUUCAUUGAUGCCGACGUCGAGGUAAGAUCCCCAUCUUUCUUUAUGUUUUUCGUAUAUAAAAUAAGAACAAAUCGAAGAAGACAACAAAGAAAAAAUAAAAUCAAAAUCAAACGAAGUCGGAGAAUUACCUAAACGAUUUAUUCUUUCUUGUUUUUGAAAUUUUUUUGUAUUUUUGUCUUAUAAAUCUUCGUAACCCCUUACAAAUUCUGUUUAAUGGCAUUAUAUAGCCGAAGAAUGACAGAAUGAAAAUCAAAAGAAAAUUACAGAAAAAUCUUGCACUAUUUACUGCAUUUUCUUGCUAUCCUUUGCUGUUGUUUUGUUUGCUUCUAUUUAUUGCAGGUACGGAGGCCAGCUGGAGUGUACGGAGGCUCGUGUGGAUUUGGCGCAGAGGCGCUACACGCGUGCGGACGUAACAUGCACGAGGAGGAGGCCUGGCUCUGCUGCAGCGGUGGAGGCUGAAUGCUGCUAGGGUUUGCUGAUUUCUGGUUUAGGCUAGUUGGGCUAGGGUAUUGGGCUUAGGCUAAUUGGGUUUAGGCUAGUUGGGUUUCUGUAACUUGGGUCUGGU
This 679-nucleotide long non-coding RNA is filed under the name Gossypium barbadense (sea-island cotton). RNAcentral's name for it is "long non-coding RNA (GBAR_LNC018666)". The record is from RNAcentral. Lineage: Eukaryota; Viridiplantae; Streptophyta; Magnoliopsida; Malvales; Malvaceae.